RNAcentral lists this ribosomal RNA (280 nucleotides) under uncultured bacterium. RNAcentral describes it as "partial 16S ribosomal RNA". It matches the Rfam family "Bacterial small subunit ribosomal RNA", at positions 75 to 353 of the family's 1533-position model. The record is from RNAcentral.
CUUGCAAACUGGAGAUGGCGACCGGCGCACGGGUGAGUAACACGUAUCCAACCUGCCGAUAACUCGGGGAUAGCCUUUCGAAAGAAAGAUUAAUACCCGAUGGCAUAAUAGAACCGCAUGGUUUGAUUAUUAAAGAAUUUCGGUUAUCGAUGGGGAUGCGUUCCAUUAGGUUGUUGGCGGGGUAACGGCCCACCAAGCCUUCGAUGGAUAGGGGUUCUGAGAGGAAGGUCCCCCACAUUGGAACUGAGACACGGUCCAAACUCCUACGGGAGGCAGCAUG